GAUGAACGCUGGCGGCGUGCUUAACACAUGCAAGUCGAACGAAGCACUUCAAUCGAUUCUUCGGAAUGAAGUUUUAGUGACUGAGUGGCGGACGGGUGAGUAACGCGUGGGUAACCUGCCUCACACAGGGGGAUAACAGUUGGAAACGGCUGCUAAUACCGCAUAAGACCACGGGAUCACAUGGUUCUGGGGUAAAAGAUUUAUCGGUUUGGGGUGGGCUCGCGUCCGAUUAGGUAGUUGGUGAGGUAACGGCCCACCAAGCCGACGAUCGGUAGCCGACCUGAGAGGGUGAUCGGCCACAUUGGGACUGAGAUACGGCCCAGACUCCUACGGGAGGCAGCAGUGGGGAAUAUUGGGCAAUGGGCGCAAGCCUGACCCAGCAACGCCGCGUGAAGGAAGAAGGCUUUCGGGUUGUAAACUUCUUUUAAGAGGGAAGAGCAGAAGACGGUACCUCUAGAAUAAGCCACGGCUAACUACGUG
RNAcentral lists this ribosomal RNA (480 nucleotides) under uncultured bacterium. RNAcentral describes it as "bacterial SSU rRNA". It matches the Rfam family "Bacterial small subunit ribosomal RNA", at positions 28 to 507 of the family's 1533-position model. The record is from RNAcentral.